UUUCUUUGACCUAAGAAUGCCAUUUCUUAGUUCAUCCCUAUUUCCGAAAGAAUCUUGCUUAGAUGGUAAAGUCUGACUCUUAUCUUUCCUUACCAAGAGGUGAUUCAAUCAAUGUACUUGCUUGUAGUUUCAAAGGUAUUGGCUUUGUGUAAAAGAGAUAAGAGAGCUCUUUCCUCUUUUUGAUAUAUUCUAUAAUUCUAUGAGAAAUGGAAUUCGGGAAGGUGCUAUACCUACCCUUACCUCUCUCUAGGUAAGCAAUAACAAUGACCUUCCUCCUAUUAAGUGUCCCUAAUCAAUUACCAGACUAAGACUUUGAUGUCUAGAUCACUACCCUCUCCAACACAGUCGAGCACUUAAUCCCUUGAUCCUAACCAAAGGAAUAGGGGAUAGAAAAGAGUUGCUUGAGAUUGACCAGCAUGCACUAGCUGAUAAUGCUAAGUUAUGGAGCACUUGUCUUCUAGCGGGAACCAGUAUAACAAGUAUUCCUCAAAAGGAUUAGGCUCCGGUGUGGAUGUCAUUCAGCUGCUUAUGGCUCGCUUUCUCUUUCCAUUCCAUUUCCACCUUGUUCACAGGCGAAUCAAGCUGCUAUCAAAGCUUGUCAAUCGAUUCUUUCAUAACCUUAACUCUCCAUUGCGAGUUCUUUGACUCUAUUCCAAAGAGUAGACUGGAAGACCAUGCUUGUGCGAGCGCCUUUUCCGAAGCCUCCAAUUCUUUUCAUUUUCUUCUGCAAUACGAGAUUUUCUCUUUUUUCGGUGGUGGAGCGAGGUAGACUCGGUCUUCGAAAAAGUCAUUUCAUAUAGAAAAGAGGGAUUGAGUCUGUCUUCUCUCCUAUAUUGAUAUUGGACAAGAGAGCUCCGGUGCUAUCUUUCAUGGACGAAUCCCCUGCUUGCUUGAUAAGAAAGAAGCCGCGCUAUUGAAUCAAUCAGCUGUGAACGAAUCGGAUGUAGCAAGAAUAAGUGCUUUGUUAUUGUUCUAUCUUUUUUCUUUCUUUUUCGCCCGGUUAGCCUUUCUUUGAAAGAAUACGGGGUUAGAGCCUAAUCAAAUAUGCCCAUUUUCCAAGAAGGAGCUGCACAUGAAGCAGAGAGUCCACUUGUGGGGGGAACAAUGAAAGCCUUAGGUAUCCUCGAUGAUGCUUUGUCACCCUCGAGAAUGCUUGUACAUGCCUAUGAUGAUUCCACUAGGAAAUGAAUCCGCAAAGGUAACGGUAACAAAUAAGAAGAAGACACGAAUUGAUGUUAUGGCACAGGGAACCCAGUCCUGCUUACGCGAUGGUGUGCUUGGACAGAGGGCUAACUGGAAUCUUCUUCGACCAGAAACCUUGGAUCUACUUGCUUGAACAGAGUACUCUCCGCCUCUGUUUAUCUGUUUACGAAUGGCCCCACAGGCCUAAGCGAUGAUGGCUCCAGGCCUAAGCGAUGAUGGCUCCGGCGUUCUUGGUCAAUGAUGUCGUUCACUUCUGACCUUCCCAUUUGGACUGUCAAAGGAGGCCGUCAAAGGUCAUUUGGGGGUGGGUUUACGAGAGGGCCUUUUCCCUUACUUCUCUUUCCUUCGCUUGGUAGACGAGUCAACGAUAGAGCGAAAGAAAUGCCCAUGGAGUACGACUCGCUAGAGCUCCUGCAGCCUCCGUGCCUAGAGAGCUGCCCCCCACUGAUCAAAGGAAUGAACGAUGGUGCGGAACCCUUUCUCGCUUUUCGGAAAUCAAUACGUGUACACCUUUGUCUUAAUACCGUCUAGCCGAUAUAAUUCCCCAAAUAGGCUUUCACUAAUGAAGUAGGCUUUCGACAAUGAGAGAUGGUAAGCCUUUCUUCCUUAGAUGCCUUGAAAGUGCCUAUUCUUUCUUUCCUUAGAUGCCUUGAAAGUGCCUAUUCUUUCGAGAAAUACUUUCUAGAGUUCUUCAGAUUCUCUCAUAAAAGAAAUAAAAGAUAGUGGGAGUUAAGAUUCGGGACUAUAUACUGGCUGCUAUCUCACUCUAUAAAGUCAAAUAAUAGAUGUGUAGAGCGCGGGCAUGCUUCGUCCUGUUCCUUUGCCCGCCGAGAGUUGUUAGUGGAACGCCCCUAAUUCCAUUCCCACUGAGGGGUUUGAAAGCUAUGGCGGGAAGUCUAUUUUCUCCCCAACUAAUUACCUUCACUCAGAAUUCUUUUGACUUGACAUUCGUUAUCCCCUCGACCCCUGUAUGUAGAGGCCUUUGAAGACCACUACUAAAUACAGAGGAUCUUGAUAGAAAGUGGUGCAGGAUUUCAUAUUUGUACAUUGAGUACAGCCAGGCAGUGGAAUUUGGAUCCUUCUUGCUCUGCUCCUCACUACAGCUGUUCGUGCAUAUGACGGGACCACUCGAACUGCGCAAGGUAGAGUUUAUUGUCAUCUCCAAGUGGGACCCCUUGUUCGGUCAACUCUAUUCCAUGUAGAGCAGAUAUCCUAUAAACAUAUCCAAUGUUGCUAGCACGACCUUGGAUCCACGCCAACUUGGUUGUAGCAUCCUCAUAUCAUAUCAGUAUCAAGUUUCCCAUGAACGCGUAAUGUCUCUACCUUGAUAGCUACCCCGUAAACCCAAGCUUCAUUCAAGUUCCGUCCCUUCUUAUCGAUCCUGUAUUGAUCUACCACCAUCCUUCUCUUUUUCAUGAUCUUUGGUGGCAGCCUCCGUUUCCGUGGCAACGGCGAAGAGCGGGAAUCACCUAAAAAGAAAGAGCUUCUUCCUUUGCUACAGAUGCCUAACUUAUUCCGUCUCAUCCUCAUACUUCGGUUCUAGAGAGCUGCCAAAAAUGGAUCUUUUGCUUCUCUUCUGACGGCCAACCACACGAUUCAAGCUAUGAGGAACUCGCCAAUGACUUGGAUUUCCACCCUUGCCCGGGAACAAAUGCUUCAAGGCUUUACUUCCUUGGUCCCGAUCGGCCGUUCCGAGUAGCAGGAGAUUACCUAACUACAGGACCCGAGUGAUCUUCUGCCCAUACUUUCUUUCCUUAAUGACCUUCCAGUGGCUAGGCACCAGCCAAGCAAUGCCUUGUGCGUUCCCCAGCCAUUAGCGGUUGUAAGAGCAGAAGUAGUUUCAAGAGAAGAAUCUGCUUUAGUUUACUCGGCGCUAACAGAGCCUAAAACAGGACGGACUUGCACCAACACAAGGAAUUGCCGGUUGGCUUUCCCCUACUAGCUUUGUUCUUAGCUUUCCAGAGUGGACCUCUGCUCUUUCACUUAUUCACACACAACACUUCUUGUCCCUAGGAAGGAAGAUCAUCCAGCUCUUUUCAAAUGUCAUCGUGUAUAUAUGAGCUUAUCUCUUUUCUCUUGCUCAUCUAAACAAACAGCCCACGUAACGCUUAAGUCUCAAGUGAGCGGACCUACUUAACGCUUUGCCAGGAUAAUCAAAUAUAGAAUAAGAAGAAGCUCAAGCAUAAGCAGAAACAGCAGAUAGAUCCGGAUCCGAAUAAGACAAGCAACAUCAGUUUACUAAGAAUCAUAUGUUGGAUCAGCAGCAAGAGAAGGAAAGUAGAGUCGACAAGAUAGGAUAGGCCAAAUCAAAGGGAAUAGAGUGAGUGUCUGUACUUCAAUCUAUACUUUGUGUGACUUAUCUCAAUUCCAUUCUAACUUCAAGUCCUGAGCGUUGUUGUUAUUGAAUUCUAUCAUGUGCUGUAGGAAAGAAAAGUGUUUCAAAGGUGAAAUGGCUGGAUCAGUUGCCCCCGCCUUUGGUCUAGCCGGAUCUGCUCCAGGGAAAGCUUCCGCAUCCUUACCCCUAUAAGCUUGAACUUCACAUUCAUUCCAUACCCGACAGAGAAAUGACAGUGGGAAAAACAGAAAGAAAUCAAUCCAGAAAUCAAGAAAACUGUAGAUGUAGAAAACUGUAGAUGUAGGGUCCCGAUGUUGCUUAUAGUACUUUACUAUAGUGGAGUAUGCUUAUUUGCGCUGUUCUCUUGCUUGUUUCAUAGAGUGCACCCCAUAUAGAGUCACUUAGUAACAAAACCCCGAAAACGGACUCAUUCUAGUCAAGAACACAAGUCCAACUAGUUUGCUGGGUGAAUUGAGGCAUCUCGAGUGGGUAGUUCACUGUGCUUGUUUGCGCUUACUGAGUUUAUAGAUCCCCAGAGGACUCUACAGAUUGACUUAGCGCUUCAACGCCCUCUUCUUUAUACGACGGAGCUCAUCUUUCUUUCCCGCUUCUUUGAUACAACAACGAUUAACUGUUUCAUCUCGGCAAAGCUUAUUCUCUGGUCGACCACUACUCUACUCAAUCAAGCACUCUAACGGAACUACAUUCAAAGCUAAGCAAAGGCGAGUCCGCCAAUCAAUCAAUCCGACCUUUUGCGCUUGAUACUAUUCUUUUACGGGACCUAAUCACUAUCGUUGGUGAGUUCCUAAGCCAUCUCAUUUAUCUGAAGUGAAGCAAGCCACCUUUUCAUCUUCAUCGAGUGCCCGGACCACAAGCUCCAUAUUCCAACACCUAUAUUGGAACUACAUCUCUUUCUCCUGUUCAACUUCAAGCAGAGCGGCUAAGAAGCUUCAAAGUCCGAUACGGAAGGCAGCUAGUCAAGUAAGAAAUAUGAUUAUAUGAACUGAGCUGAUAGUCAAGUAAGAAAUCAGAUUAUAUGAACGAACGACUCUAUUACUAAGAAAUAGGAAAUAGAAGUAACACACAUAAGAUAUAAGAAAAGUCAAGUAACCGAACUCAAUAAGUCAUAAGUGCAAUAGAAGUAAUAAGUGCACAAUAUGAUAGAAAUUGAGUCAAGCUCACUCCUUACUCCUUACUCUCCUCUUUAGUUAACAUUCUAUAAUAAGGUGAACCACCCCCUUAUUUCACUCGAACGUGUUCAUUCAUAUAAGUGCAAGAUGAGAGAAUUCCUUUUAGUAAAGUUAAUACACCGAUAUUAGAUCUUCCCUAUUGUGUACUUCGUGAAUUUGCCAAUGUUGAGUUUAGCGCUUUAACCAUUCAGCCAUGGAUAAGGAAUGGAAGAAAAGCUAGCAGCGGGAGAAAGCUUUAAGGUGCUUCAGAGAUAGGGCGGUUAUAGUAAGCUGGCGAGUUAUUGUGUUGUCCUAUCUUAUCUAUAAGCUCAUCUCUUUUCGAAUGCCCCCUGAUACAUAAAUUGUUGUAUUACUUGAGUGAAUUCUUAUUGCUUGAGAUUUACCUGCAGGGCACUAUCCGUCUCAGUUAUGGAGCACUUUAGUCUUCUCGCGGGAGAACGAAGCUCAAAAGAAUUAGGCAGAGGUGUGGAUGGAUCAGGCAAUAUAUUGGCCUAAGGGGUAAGGAUCUGAUUCCAGCACUAGUAGGAUCUUUCUCAUUUAGUUAACCCAGGCGACAGACGUAGACCUUCUUUUCUCGAGAGGUCCUUUGGUUAAUCCACGGCCUCCACUUUCUUCUCCGAAUACAGGAAUGGGGUCGUUGUGGGGAUGGCACCCUUUGAUCCCCAAAUAGGCUUUCUUAUCCCCUUGAAUGUCUCUCUUUUCUUUACUGCGAAAUGCAGAAAGGUAUGGUAGGGAGCCUCUCACUGCUUAUGGCUUGCUUUCUCUCUUUUUGAAUCACUUCCUUGUUUACAGGCGAAUCAAGCUGCUAUCAAAUUGUUUAAGCACCCGAAACUCUGACUUUCUUUCGGAUUGAAUUCUUUAUUAGUUGACUAUGGUAUAGGAGCAAUACUCGAUCAGAGGCUAGAUCCGGAGCUGGCUCCUCAGCGGGAAUGAAAUGGAAUAUAAAUGCACUGAUUCUACAAAGUCAUGUAGUAACAAAAACACAGCUUACUGAAUUUAUGGAAUUGGACCGAUUUGCUUCGAUCACUUCUCGACCGGGACUUCCUCCUAUAGAUAAGAUACCUGAGAGAUAGCCUAUAGAUAAGAAGAGAUGGAUCUAUGGGCAAGGAAGCUUAUUUCUACUUCCAGGCAAGGAAAGACGAAUCUAUUGUACUACCCCAAUGGAAGGGAAAGCUUACUGAGAUACCACCGAUACCCUAUGAAAGAGAGGGCAGAGGGGAGAAAUCAAGUGUUCCCUAAAGCCAGUUCUGUGUCUCCCUAAGUAGUGCUUUCCACUCAAAACUACGCGUACUUUCUUCUUUAUCUAAGCUAACUUUCUUCUUUAUAAUAAGUGAAGUGGAAUCUAUCUCUUUAAAAUAGAUCAUAUAUAUCGUUAAAAGGAGCCUUCCCACACCAACACCAGUGGGAUCAGUAGUUUUCUACCUUCUUUCUUAGGUCGGGGCAGAGUCAAUU
RNAcentral lists this long non-coding RNA (6180 nucleotides) under Musa acuminata (dwarf banana). RNAcentral's name for it is "long non-coding RNA (MACU_LNC007759)". The record is from RNAcentral. Lineage: Eukaryota; Viridiplantae; Streptophyta; Magnoliopsida; Zingiberales; Musaceae.